UACACAUGCAGUCGAACGGUAACAGGUCUUCGGACGCUGACGAGUGGCGAACGGGUGAGUAAUACAUCGGAACGUGCCCAGUCGUGGGGGAUAACUACUCGAAAGAGUAGCUAAUACCGCAUACGAUCUGAGGAUGAAAGCGGGGGACCUUCGGGCCUCGCGCGAUUGGAGCGGCCGAUGGCAGAUUAGGUAGUUGGGGGGAUAAAAGCUUACCAAGCCAAAUAUCUGUAGCUGGUCUGAGAGGACGACCAGCCACACUGGGACUGAGACACGGCCCAAACUCCUACGGGAGGCAGUAUGGGGGAAUUUUGGACAAGGGGCGAAACCUUGAUCCCCAAUGCCGCGGGCAAAUAAAGGCCUUCCGUUUUAAACUGCUUUUUUCCACUAAUUAUUUCCCCUAUUCCAAAGGCCCAUGACGGUCCGU
Molecule: ribosomal RNA, 424 nt
Filed under: bacterium KR 1996/1_37f
Lineage: Bacteria
Description: bacterial SSU rRNA
Rfam family: Bacterial small subunit ribosomal RNA
Source: RNAcentral